UCAGCAGCCGCGGUAAUACGGAGGUUCCAAGCGUUGUUCGGAAUUACUGGGCGUAAAGGGAGCGCAGGCGGACAGGUCAGUUUAAAGUGGAAUCCCAGGGCUCAACCCUGGACGUGCUUUGGAUACUGCCUGUCUUGAGUUCGUGAGAGGAAAGUGGAAUUCAGGGUGUAGCGGUGAAAUGCUUAGAUAUCCUGAGGAACACCAGUGGCGAAAGCGACUUUCUGGCACGAAACUGACGCUGAGGCUCGAAAGCAUGGGUAGCGAACGGGAUUAGAUACCCCGGUAGUCCAUGCCGUAAACGUUGUGUACUAGGUGCAGGAGGUAUCGACCCCUUCUGUGCCGAAGCUAACGCAUUAAGUACACCGCCUGGGGAGUACGCGCGCAAGCGUGAAACUUAAAGGAAUUGGCGGGGGAC
Molecule: ribosomal RNA, 415 nt
Filed under: uncultured bacterium
Lineage: Bacteria
Description: bacterial SSU rRNA
Rfam family: Bacterial small subunit ribosomal RNA
Source: RNAcentral